RNAcentral lists this ribosomal RNA (454 nucleotides) under uncultured Porphyromonadaceae bacterium. RNAcentral's name for it is "bacterial SSU rRNA". It matches the Rfam family "Bacterial small subunit ribosomal RNA", at positions 341 to 792 of the family's 1533-position model. Lineage: Bacteria; Pseudomonadati; Bacteroidota; Bacteroidia; Bacteroidales; Porphyromonadaceae. The record is from RNAcentral.
ACGGGAGGCAGCAGUGAGGAAUAUUGGUCAAUGGACGGAAGUCUGAACCAGCCAAGUCGCGUGAAGGAAGACGGUUCUAUGGAUUGUAAACUUCUUUUGCUCGAGGGUAAAACGCGGUACGUGUACCGCCUUGCAAGUAUCGAGUGAAUAAGCAUCGGCUAACUCCGUGCCAGCAGCCGCGGUAAUACGGGGGAUGCGAGCGUUAUCCGGAUUUAUUGGGUUUAAAGGGUGCGUAGGCGGGUUGUUAAGUCAGUGGUGAAAGUUUGCGGCUCAACCGUAAAAUUGCCAUUGAAACUGGCGACCUUGAGUGUAAACGAGGUAGGCGGAAUAUGACGUGUAGCGGUGAAAUGCUUAGAUAUGUCAUAGAACCCCGAUUGCGAAGGCAGCUUACCAGCAUACAACUGACGCUGAGGCACGAAAGCGUGGGUAUCAAACAGGAUUAGAUACCCUGGUA